AAUACAAAAUAUAUAAGUAUUGCAGGUGUAGUGAUGGUUUGUGUCGUUCUGCGUUACAUGAAAUAUCGUUGGACAAAAGAAGAGGAGGAAACAAGGCAGAUGUAUGAUAUGGUAGUAAAGAUUAUAGAUGUUUUACGAAGUCAUAAUGAAGCUUGCCAGGAAAACAAAGAUUUACAACCUUACAUGCCUAUUCCACAUGUGCGAGACUCCUUAAUACAGCCUCAUGACAGGAAAAAAAUGAAGAAAGUCUGGGAUAGAGCUGUUGACUUCCUUGCCGCCAAUGAGUCUAGAGUUCUCACGGAAACAUGAAGAAUAGGUGGUGCAGAUUUUCUAGUAUGGAGGUGGAUCCAGCCCUCUGCAUCCUGUGAUAAAAUAUUAGUAAUACCUUCUAAAGUAUGGCAAGGUCAAGCAUUUCAUUUAGAUAGAAGAAAUUCACCACCAAAUAGUUUGACACCAUGUUUAAAGAUUCGAAAUAUGUUUGAUCCAGUUAUGUAAGUAUUAUAAUCAGACAUAAAUGCAAUUUUUAUUUGGACUAUUUGGCUAAAAAUGUAUGGUAUUAUUCUAAUGUUAUGGCUGUAAUUGAAAAUCUGUAUUAUUUUUGAAUUUUUUUCUUUUAUUUAAUUUCAAACAAGAGUUUGACAAAAGACAUAGAUGUACAAAGAUUUAUAAAACUUUUGUAAAUCUUUAUAUUCACUGUGAAUCCUCAUAGCAGAUAAAUGUUUGAGGCUGAUUAAUGACACACAGUAACAAACAAUACACUUUAUUUAAUGUGUAAUUGAUGUUAAACAUGACUCAGCAUUUUUGUCUCAGUAUACAAUAGAAGCAGAAAUACGUACCUAAAACUAGAAAUUCCAUUUCACCUAGUAUUUCCCCUUCUAGGUGUCUUAGAUAUCAUAUUACAGUGAUACAUGCAUACCCGUGUUUAUAGCAGCACAAUUCAUAAUAGCCAAAUCUU
Non-coding RNA from Heterocephalus glaber (naked mole-rat), 955 nucleotides. The record is from RefSeq and is a predicted model, not a curated record. NCBI's taxonomy places the organism in Eukaryota, Metazoa, Chordata, Mammalia, Rodentia, Bathyergidae.